Lagenorhynchus albirostris (white-beaked dolphin) is the source of this 460-nucleotide long non-coding RNA. RefSeq lists it as uncharacterized. NCBI's taxonomy places the organism in Eukaryota, Metazoa, Chordata, Mammalia, Artiodactyla, Delphinidae. The transcript has 2 exons. The record is from RefSeq and is a predicted model, not a curated record.
UUCAAAUCCCAGGUCCCAGCCUGGGCCCCCAACCUCUGCUGCUCCCUCACGUGACUGCCCUUAGCAGGUCCGGCUCCUCGGCCCCUUCCCAGGCCAACCCCGCUCUGAGCCCUGGGGCCGGGGUGCCCGGUGAUGGGGCCAGCAGUCGGCUGCAGCCUGGGACUCCUGAGCUGGAGCCCUGGGCUGAGCCGGCUGUUGGGGACGGCAGAGGGAGGCCCAGCUCUGCCGAUCACCAGCUCAGGGGCUUGGGAGGAGACUCUUAAAAGUUAAGGCCAUGCGUCCACUUCAAUCGUCAGUGUCAUGAGACAAAACAGGCAUCAUCAGGUUCAACUGUGUUCUGGCGCUGGCCUGAGCCCGGGGCCUCGAGUCCAGCUGAUCCAGGCUUUAUCUAUAUUUGGUACAUGAUGUCAACCCAGAACAUCUUAUUCCUUCACGUUUAAUAAACCAGCUUAAGACAUCA